UCCUGGUUACCCAGGCAGUCUCAUUAGAGUUCCCAGCCGAACUGUUGGCAACUAAUGAUAAGGGUUGCGCUCGUUGCUGGACUUAACCAAACACCUCACGGCACGAGCUGACGACAGCCAUGCAGCACCUGUGCAGCGGUCCUUACGGAAGGCGACAUUUCUGCCGCUGUCCACUGCAUGUCAAGACUAGGUAAGGUUCUUCGCGUAGCAUCGAAUUAAACCACAUGCUCCACUGCUUGUGCGGGCCCCCGUCAAUUCUUUUGAGUUUCACCCUUGCGAGCGUACUCCUCAGGCGGUAUACUUAACGCGUUAGCUCCGACACAACUGGGGUUGAGACCAGCUACAUCAAGUAUACAUAGUUUACGGCAAGGACUAC
Molecule: unclassified non-coding RNA, 376 nt
Filed under: uncultured Chlamydiales bacterium
Lineage: Bacteria; Pseudomonadati; Chlamydiota; Chlamydiia; Chlamydiales
Description: contains 16S-23S intergenic spacer region
Source: RNAcentral